RNAcentral lists this small RNA (29 nucleotides) under Bombyx mori (domestic silkworm). RNAcentral describes it as "ovarian small RNA-36784". The record is from RNAcentral. Lineage: Eukaryota; Metazoa; Arthropoda; Insecta; Lepidoptera; Bombycidae.
UUAUACGAAAGUGUCAAUGCUCUCAAGGC